ACCCUUCCGUUCCCUUUCCCCUCGGAUCAGAACACUAGUGUUGGUGGCCAUACAAGGAGAAAAUGUGAUUUUUUUUUUUAAUU
RNAcentral lists this small nucleolar RNA (83 nucleotides) under Ochotona princeps (American pika). RNAcentral describes it as "Small nucleolar RNA SNORA61 (ENSOPRG00000022528.1)". The record is from RNAcentral. Lineage: Eukaryota; Metazoa; Chordata; Mammalia; Lagomorpha; Ochotonidae.